UCCAAAUGACAGAAAAGGGAGCUGUACACA
This 30-nucleotide non-coding RNA is filed under the name Mus musculus (house mouse). The record is from RNAcentral. Lineage: Eukaryota; Metazoa; Chordata; Mammalia; Rodentia; Muridae.